This 254-nucleotide unclassified non-coding RNA is filed under the name Hevea brasiliensis (rubber tree). Lineage: Eukaryota; Viridiplantae; Streptophyta; Magnoliopsida; Malpighiales; Euphorbiaceae. The record is from RNAcentral.
UCAAUGCCAGGUCCUCAUCUGACUGCAUAUAAUUAAUUCACACGAGAUUAUGAGAAGCACACGACAACCAAAUUUCCUUCGACCAGAGAUAUCUAGGAUAUUAAACAAAAGGAGAAGUUGAAUUCCCCACUAGACUUUAUGCAAGAUAAUCAAAUCCCAAUCUACCCAGCUGCACGUUAAUGAAAGACAGCACUCAAUCCACUCCACUAGCUAACCGAAACAAUUCCAGCUAAAUGUUGGGAAAAACCCCAACG